GACGAACGCUGGCGGCGUGCCUAAUACAUGCAAGUAGAACGCUGAAGGAGGAGCUUGCUUCUUUGGAUGAGUUGCGAACGGGUGAGUAACGCGUAGGUAACCUGCCUGGUAGCGGGGGAUAACUAUUGGAAACGAUAGCUAAUACCGCAUAAGAGUAGAUGUUGCAUGACAUUUGCUUAAAAGGUGCAAUUGCAUCACUACCAGAUGGACCUGCGUUGUAUUAGCUAGUUGGUGGGGUAACGGCUCACCAAGGCGACGAUACAUAGCCGACCUGAGAGGGUGAUCGGCCACACUGGGACUGAGACACGGCCCAGACUCCUACGGGAGGCAGCAGUAGGGAAUCUUCGGCAAUGGACGGAAGUCUGACCGAGCAACGCCGCGUGAGUGAAGAAGGUUUUCGGAUCGUAAAGCUCUGUUGUAAGAGAAGAACGAGUGUGAGAGUGGAAAGUUCACACUGUGACG
Molecule: ribosomal RNA, 462 nt
Filed under: Streptococcus sp. oral taxon 064
Lineage: Bacteria; Bacillati; Bacillota; Bacilli; Lactobacillales; Streptococcaceae
Description: bacterial SSU rRNA
Rfam family: Bacterial small subunit ribosomal RNA
Source: RNAcentral